UUUUGUUUCAGUAACUCUGAAUUCGUCCGCAUGAAACCUGGAGCAGCGUCCAAACCCUAACCACUUCUCGUCAGCACUUCGCUUUUCAAUUUAUCUAGCUUCCUAUGAAUCGUUCUCCCUCCAACUAGCGGCGGCGAACGGCAACUCCGGUCGGCGUCAGGGAAUAGUCUCUUUUUCGCGUGGAUCUCCAUCGCCAGUGUGCUCUCAUGUUGAUGCUCUUUCAGCUUAUGACCGCUGUUUGUCUAUGAUCUUCAUGUGCCACUCGUCGAGGAGCACAGAUGCAGGCAGCUGUGAGACGACUCGCCCUCUCUUCUUCCCAAGCCUCCUCUUUCUCUUCCUCGAAAAGGGUUUCCAUCGGCUCAUCUAGUGCAUUAAACCAGACAAGUCCCACUAGUCAGGAAAAAUCAUCUGCUGCAUCAGUUCCUUCUAUUUCCUGUAAAUCACAAAGAGGAAGGAGGAUAUCUAAAGAAGAAAGGCGUGCUCUAGUGGAGUCUUUCGUUGGAAAGUAUAGAGCCCAGAAUGCUGGAAUUUUUCCUUCUGUUUCAAAGGUCCAAAUGGAGGUUGGUGGGUCUUAUUAUGUAAUCCGAGAGAUGGUUCAAGAAUUGGAGUAUAAUGCUAAGUUGGCUUCUUUCAACAAAGUGAUUAGGCAGCCAGGAAAAUUAGAAGGCAGUGCUCAAAUUUCAGAUGCAGCAAUGUCAUCUGCGAUUGUCGCAGAUGAAAUAUUGAAAUCAAGUACUAUGAUCAAAGACGAGCCAUCAGUGGUUAUUGAAGCAGAUGCUUCGCAGAUUCCUCCAGGAGAGCCUGUAGGCUGCCAAACAGAGAUUAGCACUAUUGAGGAAAAUGUUCUGGAUGAGCCAUCAGUGGUUAUUGAAGCAGAUGCUUCGCAGAUUCCUCCAGAAGAGCCUGUAGGCUGCCAAACAGAGAUUAGCACUAUUGAGGACGAUGUCCUGGACGAGCCAUCAGUGGUUAUUGAAGCAGAUGCUUCGCAGAUUCCUCCAGGAGAGCCUGUAGGCUGCGAAACAGAGAUUAACACUAUUGACUCUUCAGCAGACGUACCUGACCAAAAAGUAGUUAAACAUGCAAGGUCCAAUACAACUCUGGGGACAUAUAUGGAGGAUUCGCAACCUAUUGAAAACAUCAGGAGUUCAAAUCUUGGAGAUUCACCAAGGGCAACAAACUUAUGGAGCAACUUGAGAUCAUUGGCAGAAGGGAUCUUUAGCUUUUGGAAGAAAAAGUAGGUCUUCAUCUGCUGCUUGACAAAAAAGUAGAUCUUCAUUUGCUGCUCGACAGAUAGCUAUGCAGGAUUCAGUUGCCUUUUAUCGUGGCUCAAUGUCUAUUUAGCUUCUCCUGGAGGGUUGCUAUUUUGUUUUGCUUAGUUUCUUGAAAAUAAUUUCUCCAACAAUCAUGGAUUAACCGACGACUCAUGAUUAAUCGAAGCGAGUUGCAUAAUUUCAGUCUUAUUUUUUGAGAGAAAGGAGGGUGCAAAAGUUGGAUAGUUUGUUUUGGAUAGUCAACUGCCGGUGUCUAUUUGUUCGUGAAUCUCGAUCAACUAUGAAGCAUAAUCUCGUGAGGGAUUUCCAUCUUCAGGAGGUAUGAAUGCAAGCUCACUGCCAUCUUCUGCAGUUGUGGAAUAUGUUUCGAUGUUUUAGUAUCUUAUGUCUCAGUGAAGGCAUAAGAUAUCAAUUUGAACUUGGGAAAGAAUUUGAAUUCGAAUUGUUUGUUUGUGGUUGAUUUUCCUUAAAUUUAAAAUGUUCGAUGUAAAAUUGUGGAGUUAAUAGAAUCGUUAUGAGUAGGGUGCAAAUGAAUG
Zingiber officinale is the source of this 1807-nucleotide RNA transcript. RefSeq lists it as uncharacterized. Lineage: Eukaryota; Viridiplantae; Streptophyta; Magnoliopsida; Zingiberales; Zingiberaceae. The record is from RefSeq and is a predicted model, not a curated record. The transcript is spliced from 8 exons.